GUUGAACGCUAGCUCCAGGCUUAACACCUGCAAGUCGAGGGACCGGCGCACGGGUGAGUAACACGUAUCCAACCUGCCCUUUACUCGGGGAUAGCCUUUCGAAAGAAAGAUUCCUACCCGAUAUAAAGGAUGGGGAUGCGUUCAAUUAGGUUGUUGUUGAGGUAACGGCCCACCAAGCCUUCGAUGGAUAGGGGUUCUGAGAGGAAGGGCCCCCACAUUGGAACUGAGACACGGUCCAAACUCCGACGGGAGGAAGCAGUGAGGAAUAUUGGUCAAUGGGCGUGAGCCUGAACCAGCCAAGUAGCGUGAAGGAUGAAGGCUUAUGGGUCGUAAACUUCGUUUAUAUAAGAAGAGGUAUUAUAUGAAUAAGGAUCGGCUAACUCCGUGCCAGCAGCCGCGGUAAUAC
This 406-nucleotide ribosomal RNA is filed under the name uncultured bacterium. RNAcentral's name for it is "partial 16S ribosomal RNA". It matches the Rfam family "Bacterial small subunit ribosomal RNA", at positions 28 to 526 of the family's 1533-position model. The record is from RNAcentral.